This 502-nucleotide ribosomal RNA is filed under the name uncultured bacterium. RNAcentral describes it as "bacterial SSU rRNA". It matches the Rfam family "Bacterial small subunit ribosomal RNA", at positions 28 to 526 of the family's 1533-position model. The record is from RNAcentral.
GACGAACGCUGGCGGCGCGCCUAACACAUGCAAGUCGAACGGAGCGUUUUGGAAGAUUCUCUUCGGGGAUGAUUCUGGAAUUGCUUAGUGGCGAACGGGUGAGUAACACGUGAGCAACCUGCCCUAGAGUGGGGGACAACAUCUGGAAACGGAUGCUAAUACCGCAUAAGACCACGGAGCCGCAUGGUUCCGGGGCCAAAGGAUUUAUUCGCUUUAGGAUGGGCUCGCGCCUGAUUAGCUAGAUGGUGGGGUAAUGGCUUACCAUGGCAACGAUCAGUAGCCGGACUGAGAGGUCGAUCGGCCACAUUGGGACUGAGACACGGCCCAGACUCCUACGGGAGGCAGCAGUGGGGAAUAUUGGGCAAUGGGCGAAAGCCUGACCCAGCGACGCCGCGUGGAGGAAGAAGGUUUUCGGAUUGUAAACUCCUGUCUUCGGGGAAGAUAAUGACGGUACCCGAGGAGGAAGCCACGGCUAACUACGUGCCAGCAGCCGCGGUAACAC